This 869-nucleotide ribosomal RNA is filed under the name uncultured Bacteroidota bacterium. Its description in RNAcentral is "bacterial SSU rRNA". It matches the Rfam family "Bacterial small subunit ribosomal RNA", at positions 9 to 873 of the family's 1533-position model. Lineage: Bacteria; Pseudomonadati; Bacteroidota. The record is from RNAcentral.
AGAGUUUGAUCCUGGCUCAGGAUGAACGCUAGCGACAGGCUAACACAUGCAAGUCGAGGGGCAGCGCGGGGAAAGCUUGCUUUUCCUGGCGGCGACCGGCGCACGGGUGCGUAACAGGUGUGCAAUCUGUCCUAUACCAGAGCAUAGCCCAGCGAAAGUUGGAUUAAUUCUCUAUGUGAGCCGAGAGGGCAUCCUUUUGGUUUGAAACGUGAGGGUAUAGGGUGAGCACGCUUCUGAUUAGCUAGUUGGUGAGGUAACGGCUCACCAAGGCGACGAUCAGUAGGGGUUCUGAGAGGAAGGUCCCCCACAUUGGAACUGAGACACGGUCCAAACUCCUACGGGAGGCAGCAGUGAGGAAUAUUGGUCAAUGGACGGAAGUCUGAACCAGCCAAGUCGCGUGAAGGAUGAAGGUUCUAUGGAUUGUAAACUUCUUUUGUCUGAGGGUAAAAAAGGCCACGUGUGGCUUCUUGCAAGUAUCAGACGAAUAAGCAUCGGCUAACUCCGUGCCAGCAGCCGCGGUAAUACGGAGGAUGCGAGCGUUAUCCGGAUUUAUUGGGUUUAAAGGGUGCGCAGGCGGUUUGUUAAGUCAGUGGUAAAAGCGUGUGGCUCAACCAUACCAAGCCAUUGAAACUGGCGAACUUGAGUGCAAACGAGGUAGGCGGAAUGUGAUGUGUAGCGGUGAAAUGCUUAGAUAUGUCACAGAACCCCGAUUGCGAAGGCAGCUUACCAGCAUGCAACUGACACUGGGGCACGAAAGCGUGGGUUUCAAACAGGAUUAGAUACCCUGGUAGUCCACGCAGAAACCCUAUACUAGCUGUUGGCGAUAUAAUGUCAGCGRUACAGCGAAAGUGUUAAGUAUCCACCYUGGG